GUUUAUGCAAAAAUGUGUACAUAAAUGAUUAUAUCAGCAUUAUUCUUAAUAGCCAAAAGUGGAAACAAUUCAAAUGUCCAACAACUGACGAAAAGAUGAAGUGUGGUAUAUCCAUAUAAUGGAAUAAUAUGCAGACAUAAAGUGGAAUGAUUGACACAUGUUUACAACAUGGAUGAACCUUGACAACGCUGUGUUAAGUUAAAGAAGCCAGACACAAAAGGAUUGUCAACACUGUGGCAAUUGAAAAUAACAGGAAUAACUGUUUUAUGACAAAUGGACCUGAACCCUAUGAAAUGAAUUUGCAAGCACUGGCACAGUUAACAUAUGCUACAAACAACCAUCUUCAGACAGUGUAGCCAACCAACUGUGCCAGACUUAAACUGACGACCCUGAGGUGAAUCGUUCUAUUGCCACAACAUUUCUGAUCCUCAAGGCUCUCCAUGCUCCUAAACUCUUUUCUUUAAUAUUCUACAGUGUGUUUAUUUUCACGGCUAUAAAGUCAUACUCAGAUUUGCAAUGAUAUUUACUACCAUAUUUCAGAGUGUUUUAACUGAUGUUAGUUCAAAUCAAUUCUGGAGAAACUUUCCAGCCAAGGGAAUUGCAAGCUAGCUGGUUGACAUUGGAGGUCAAAUACUCCAGGGUAUGGGUCUCAAAUCACUUAAUUCUUCACAGCAAAUUAGAAACGGGACUCCAGCUGGUGCUAAAGAAUAAGACAGACUUGCUGUAUAAGGACAAGCUGCUGCUUGGAUUUCGAGUCUUUAUAUUCCUAAAAUAAAAAAUGUG
Molecule: long non-coding RNA, 783 nt
Filed under: Pan troglodytes (chimpanzee)
Lineage: Eukaryota; Metazoa; Chordata; Mammalia; Primates; Hominidae
Description: long non-coding RNA NONPTRT001171
Source: RNAcentral